AGGGCGCACGGCGGAUGCCUUGGCACAGGAAGCCGAUGAAGGACGCGGCAAGCUGCGAUAAUCCGCGGUUAGGGGCACACACCCUUCGACCCGCGGGUCUCCGAAUGGGCGAACCCGGCAGGCGCGGGCCUGCCAUCCCCCUCCCGAAUCCAUAGGGAGGGGGAGGACAACCCGGGGAACUGAAACAUCUAAGUACCCGGAGGAGAAGAAAUCAAUACCGAGAUCCCCCGAGUAGCGGCGAGCGAAAGGGGGCCUAGGACAAACCGGUGAGCGCACGCGGGCGGCAGCCUUCGCGCCACCGGGGUUGUAGGACCGGCCAUGGGGCCCCUGCCGGGGCCCCGCGCGGCCGGGCGUGGGGAGCGGAACGGCAUGGGAGGGCCGGCCGCAGAGGGUCAAAGCCCCGUACGCGAACCCACGUCCCGGAGCGGGCCGGCACCUGAGUAGGGCCGGGCACGUGAAACCCGGUCCGAACCCGGGGGGACCACCCUCCAAUCCUGAAUACUCUCCUGUGACCGAUAGCGCACGAGUACCGUGAGGGAAAGGUGAAAAGCACCCCGGGAGGGGAGUGAAACAGUACCUGAAACCGUGCGCCCGCGAGCAGUCGGAGCAGCCAUGCGCUGUGACGGCGUGCCUUUUGUAGAAUGAGCCAGCGAGUUGCUGGCCGGCGGCGAGGUUAACCGGAAGGGAGCCGUAGCGAAAGCGAGUCCGAACAGGGCGUCCAGUCGCCGGCCGCAGACGCGAAGCCGGGUGAGCUAUCCCUGGGCAGGCUGAAGCGGGGGUAAGACCCCGUGGAGGGCCGAACGGAAGUGGGUUGAAAACCGCUCCGAUGACCUGGGGAUAGGGGUGAAAGGCCUAUCAAACCCGGAGAUAUCUCGUUCUCCCCGAAAUAGCUUUAGGGCUAGCGUCGGGGGUUCACCGACGGAGGUAGAGCUACCGGAUGGACGAGGGGGCUUCGCCGCCUACCGACUCCAACCGAACUCCGAAUGCCGUCGGCCCACACCCCGGCAGUCAGAGCAUGUGGGCUAAGCUGUGUGCUCGAGAGGGAAACAGCCCAGACCGCCCGCUAAGGUCCCCAAAUCCACGCCGAGUGGCAAAGGAUGUGCGCUCGCGCAGACAACCAGGAGGUUGGCUUAGAAGCAGCCACCCCUUCAAAGAGUGCGUAACAGCUCACUGGUCGAGUGGGCGCGCGCCGACAAUACACGGGGCUAAGCGUGGUACCGAAGCGGCGGGAUGACAUUUAUAUAUCAUCGGUAGGGGGGCGUCGCGCGCGGGGAGAAGCCGGAGGGCCACCGACGGUGGACCGCGCGCGAGCGAGAAUGCUGGCAUGAGUAGCGAGAGACGAGAGAGUAACUCGUCCGCCGUGAACCCGAGGUUUCCUGGGCCAGGCUAAUCCUCCCAGGGUCAGUCGGGGGCUAAGCCGAGGCCGGAAGGCGUAGGCGACGCGCAGCAGGUCGAUAUUCCUGCACCGCGAUGGCGGCGCUAUGACCGACGGGGCGACGGAUUGGGGUGGCUCGGCGGGGUUCUGGACGUCCCCGUGAUGGAGCGCGGCCCGCGGACCAGGGAAAUCCGGUCCGCACGAGGGCGAGGCUCCGGACGAAGCGACUGAGCGAAGCGAGUGAGCCCGAGGUCCCUAGAAAAACCCCUAGGCAGGCGCGUGCGCGCCCGUACCGCAAACCGACACAGGUGGGUGGGUAGAACAUACCGAGGCGAUCGGGUCAACCAUGGUCAAGGAACUCGGCACAAUGGCCCCGUAACUUCGGGAGAAGGGGUGCCCGCGCGUACGUGGAGGGACUAGCUCCCCGAGCGGAGGCGGGCCGCAGUGAAGAGGCCCAAGCGACUGUUUACCAAAAACACAGGACUCUGCAGAAGCCGAAAGGCGACGUAUAGGGUCUGACGCCUGCCCGGUGCCGGAAGGUCACGGGGAGGGGUUAGCCGCGAGGCGAGGCCCCGAACCCAAGCCCCGGUAAACGGCGGCCGUAACUAUAACGGUCCUAAGGUAGCGAAAUUCCUUGUCGGGUAAGUUCCGACCUGCACGAAAGGCGCAACGACUUGGGCGCUGUCUCGACCAUGGACCCGGUGAAAUUGCACUGGUCGUGAAGAUGCGACUUACCCGCGGAAGGACGGAAAGACCCCGUGAACCUUCACUGCAGCUUGGCAUUGGCCGCCAGCGCGGCGCGUAGAGGAUAGGCGGGAGACGCCGAACCCGGGACGCCAGUCCCGGGGGAGUCGCCCUUGGAAUACCGCCCCCGCCGCGCCGGCGUCCUAACCCGCAGCCGCGAUCCGGUGCGGGGACCGUGCCAGGUGGGUAGUUUGACUGGGGCGGUCGCCUCCUAAAGAGUAACGGAGGCGCGCGAAGGUCCGCUCGGGACGGUCGGCAACCGUCCUUUUG
This 2389-nucleotide ribosomal RNA is filed under the name human gut metagenome. RNAcentral's name for it is "bacterial LSU rRNA". It matches the Rfam family "Bacterial large subunit ribosomal RNA", at positions 14 to 2347 of the family's 2925-position model. The record is from RNAcentral.